CCUAGUGGUGAUAGUGGAGGGGAAACACCCGUUCCCAUCCCGAACACGGAAGUUAAGCCCUCCAGCGCCGAUGGUAG
Molecule: ribosomal RNA, 77 nt
Filed under: Geobacillus stearothermophilus
Lineage: Bacteria; Bacillati; Bacillota; Bacilli; Caryophanales; Anoxybacillaceae
Source: RNAcentral